CUGGUUUCCCUCUACUUCUUGGACCUUUUGAAGAUGCAAACACAGAGUAAGGUUCGUCUAUUAAAAGUUUGUCAUCAGCAUAUGAGGUUUUGUUUUCCAAAUGCUGCUCGCUUCCUGUGUGGAGAGAUAAGCAGGCAAUCUUACUGUGUUUGCGCUCACAGCCCCCAUUGGGGAGAAAAAUCUCAUAACUGGGGAAAUUCCUCCACCUCCACAGAGCGUUUUCGGAACCCGACAGAUCCUGCCGGAAUCACGGACACUGGCCGGCAAGGAGUGAAGGGUUUGUGUAACGGUCCUAUGUGUGAACCAGGUUUCUGCAUGAAGACGCUCUCACCUCCAUUGCUUCUUUCUUCCUGAGAGACACAGAAAGAGCACACAUGACUCGCCUGCUAGUUAUAAAAAAUCAUUCUCUCCGUCCGGUGGCUCCGCCAUGCAGCUACGAUGAGAGUACUGGUGACCAUGAGAGAAGCUGGUUGCUUGGUAUGAGGUUUUCAUUUUGGCAUUAGCAGGCCUGAAGCACUGCUGGAGACCUACCCAAGCCAGAGCUUCAGUGGGCCCAGCAUGAACCUGAGUGCAGGGGCACAUGAGAAAAAAAGAGGAUUUAGAAGAAACAGAUUUCCAGAGGAAGAACUGGGACAGAACAAACCAUGGCGAGACUGGAUCUUGGUGUAGCACUGCCAGAAAGCCUCGGGCUUGCAGUUCCUCUUCCUCUGCUGCUUCUGUAAGGAAAAUGCUGGAAGAAAAUAACCCAACAAACGAGACAUUUGGAAGCAUGUGAAGCUUUUUCUCAGAUAAGAAUGUUGGAUAUUCCUGUAGUCCAGGUAGUUUUGACCAUCAUUCUUAUGACUCUGGUGUAACCUCUGAGGAUGGUGAAGACACACCACAGCAGACUGACCCGAAAAUAUCAUGUACCUGGUUUACGUAGCAUGAUCAGCUUCACAGAGCUGCGAUUCCUCUAAGAACAAAGUGCCUUUUGAGGAAUUAUCUAGAUCAGACCUGCAAGUAGGCAUGAUUUUGGGAGAGUUGACUUGAUUAUUAAUUGAUGCAGAGGAACCAACAGACUAUGGGCAAUACCAUACCUACACAGGUGCCUGGGAUGUGUGGGAGCACUGGGAGUAAGCUGGAGAAGAAGCCAGCAAACAGCAUUUCGCCAUGGUCCCUGCCUCUAGGUUCCUGCCUUGAGUUCCUACCCUGACUUCCCUC
This 1200-nucleotide small RNA is filed under the name Rattus norvegicus (Norway rat). RNAcentral describes it as "uncharacterized LOC102551750". Lineage: Eukaryota; Metazoa; Chordata; Mammalia; Rodentia; Muridae. The record is from RNAcentral.